GAGUUCAAGAGUACGUGAAACUGUGUGGUGGUAAACGGAGCGGUUCUCGAAGUUUCUGUGGGGAACUCAGCCUUGGUGACUGGCUGUCGUGUCGUAUCGGAUCAGCAAUGACCGUGCGGCCCGCCAGGCUGGUCUCUCGGGUGCAUUUCCCCCGCAGUUUACGACAGGAACUGUUUGGACUGGAUCAAAGGCCCUGGGUGAAGUUGUUGGUACUGCUGGCAGCCCUGGGUGCCCUGGCUCCGGACCAGACAGGUAUUUGAGAGGACUCGUAUAGCGAGCAAUGCUCUGUUGCGGUUCUCAUCUCUCUGUCGAGUAGGUCGGCGGCCGCUCCGACCCGUCUUGAAACACG
Molecule: ribosomal RNA, 349 nt
Filed under: Mecynocera clausi
Lineage: Eukaryota; Metazoa; Arthropoda; Copepoda; Calanoida; Mecynoceridae
Description: partial 28S ribosomal RNA
Source: RNAcentral